AAUUUGAAAAUAUAGAACAUCAGAUUGCAAAUUUGAUUUAGCGAGAGCUCAAAUUAC
This 57-nucleotide transfer RNA is filed under the name Gammarus fossarum. RNAcentral describes it as "tRNA-Cys". The record is from RNAcentral. Lineage: Eukaryota; Metazoa; Arthropoda; Malacostraca; Amphipoda; Gammaridae.